This 152-nucleotide small RNA is filed under the name Chrysemys picta bellii (western painted turtle). Its description in RNAcentral is "TUC338 (ENSCPBG00000027761.1)". Lineage: Eukaryota; Metazoa; Chordata; Testudines; Emydidae. The record is from RNAcentral.
UUGGCAGCCCUGGAGACUGAUGUCCUAAUUAUCCUCAGAACAGGUGCACAUGGGCAUUUUCCUGCCAAUGUGACUCAGCGUAGAGGGAGAGAGCCCAAUUCUCAAAUUAGAUGGUAGAGUUCAGUAUAAAGCUUUCUACUGACACAGCCACC